RNAcentral lists this ribosomal RNA (424 nucleotides) under Verrucomicrobiota bacterium. RNAcentral's name for it is "Verrucomicrobia bacterium partial 16S ribosomal RNA". It matches the Rfam family "Bacterial small subunit ribosomal RNA", at positions 355 to 776 of the family's 1533-position model. The record is from RNAcentral. Lineage: Bacteria; Pseudomonadati; Verrucomicrobiota.
UGAGGAAUAUUGGUCAAUGGGCGAGAGCCUGAACCAGCCAAGUAGCGUGCAUGAUGACGGCCCUAUGGGUUGUAAACUGCUUUUAUGUGGGGAUAAAGUGCGUGACGUGUCAUGCAUUGCAGGUACCACAUGAAUAAGGACCGGCUAAUUCCGUGCCAGCAGCCGCGGUAAUACGGAAGGUCCGGGCGUUAUCCGGAUUUAUUGGGUUUAAAGGGAGCGUAGGCUGUCUAUUAAGCGUGUUGUGAAAUUUACCGGCUCAACCGGUGGCUUGCAGCGCGAACUGGUCGACUUGAGUAUGCAGGAAGUAGGCGGAAUUCAUGGUGUAGCGGUGAAAUGCUUAGAUAUCAUGACGAACUCCGAUUGCGAAGGCAGCUUACGGGAGCGCAACUGACGCUAAAGCUCGAAGGUGCGGGUAUCGAACAGG